This 231-nucleotide long non-coding RNA is filed under the name Struthio camelus australis. RNAcentral describes it as "lncRNA (ENSSCUG00000002468.1)". The record is from RNAcentral. Lineage: Eukaryota; Metazoa; Chordata; Aves; Struthioniformes; Struthionidae.
ACCGUCUUCUUAUCACCACGAUAACGAAACACCCGUGGCGAGAGAGCCUGUGUCACUUCAGAGAGGAAUUCCCUCUGUAUUAUCAAAAGAAUCAGGCUACCUGUGCAAGAAGAUGCUGAUGACAGCCUUAUAAAAGCUCUUAUUUACGCCAAGGACUGAAGAGGUCCAGUAUCAACAUCACGGCGGGUAAGUACAAGGAUGACAUGUCUUUGCCCCGUUUCCUGUACUGUC